UGACAUAAGCUAAGAAUAGGGAUUCCAUUCAGGAUGGAAUGAAAAUGAAAUCAAGACUGGACCAAAAUAUCCCCUCUUCAUCUCGUUCGCUCGCUCACUUUCCUCAAUUACUUUCCCGAAAUUGAAACUUGCGUUUGAAAUCAACCACUUGUAGAGGCUCGUUUGCUUGCUUCCAAUUGUUCAUUCUGAUUGAAAGAGUCGUAAAGAAGCUUGUCAAUUCAGACAUCGUAGUUUCCCUUAUUAUAACUAACUUACUUCCAUAUACGCAAAAGAGUGAGUCAUUAGGAAAGAUGCCCAAACAACUGCUGAUAUUGUUGAAAAAAUAGAUGCUGAGGAUGUAGCUACUUCAAAGAAUCUUGAAGAAGAAAGCAAUGACCAUAAAUACGAAGCUGAUGUUUGCUUGGAUGAGAUGGAUGUCUCAGCUACACAAUCGCAACUAUUGAAGCCAAACUAAGAUGAUUCCACAUUUUCAAAGAAGAAUUUUGAUGUAAGUGAACAAAUUUCUUGUGCUUCACUUAUUGAUGCUGCCACAUUAUUAGGGGAAAACAUACGGACUAUUGACCUUGAACUAAGUAGGACCAUUGCCUCUGAAGUACUAAUUCAAGAGAAGAAAAAAAUGCUAAUUCAAGAAAAUGUCCAAAAAUUAUAUCUAGCCUUAGGUGAAGCAGAAGUAUUAACUGAGUAUGAUCUCUUUCUUGCGUUAAGCAAAAAUCCAAACUAUCCAACAUAAGUGCUCAUUUUUAAGUCUACCUUCUUCUUUGCUAUUGGAAUGAGUGAGAAGAUUUAUUUCUACCUAUUAAAAAUCAUCGUUGUGUUGGUGAUGUUUUGGUAACUUUUUAUAUAUGUAAUAUUUGGAUGAUAUAAUGACAUGAUAGAAUGCCACAGACUGUUGUAACUUUUUGAUGUUGUAAAAUUUAACAUAUAGAUUAUGACAUAUAGCUAAUAGCAUCAUGUAACUUUUAGUUAA
Molecule: long non-coding RNA, 967 nt
Organism: Gossypium raimondii (Peruvian cotton)
Lineage: Eukaryota; Viridiplantae; Streptophyta; Magnoliopsida; Malvales; Malvaceae
Exons: 2
Source: RefSeq, a predicted model, not a curated record